Molecule: ribosomal RNA, 497 nt
Filed under: uncultured bacterium
Lineage: Bacteria
Description: partial 16S ribosomal RNA
Rfam family: Bacterial small subunit ribosomal RNA
Source: RNAcentral
GAUGAACGCUGGCGGCGUGCCUAAUACAUGCAAGUCGAGCGAACGGACGAGAAGCUUGCUUCUCUGAUGUUAGCGGCGGACGGGUGAGUAACACGUGGAUAACCUACCUAUAAGACUGGGAUAACUUCGGGAAACCGGAGCUAAUACCGGAUAAUAUUUUGAACCGCAUGGUUCAAAAGUGAAAGACGGUCUUGCUGUAACUUAUAGAUGGAUCCGCGCUGCAUUAGCUAGUUGGUAAGGUAACGGCUUACCAAGGCAACGAUGCAUAGCCGACCUGAGAGGGUGAUCGGCCGCACUGGAACUGAGACACGGUCCAGACUCCUACGGGAGGCAGCAGUAGGGAAUCUUCCGCAAUGGGCGAAAGCCUGACGGAGCAACGCCGCGUGAGUGAUGAAGGUCUUCGGAUCGUAAAACUCUGUUAUUAGGGAAGAACAUAUGUGUAAGUAACUGUGCACAUCUUGACGGUACCUAAUCAGAAAGCCACGGCUAACUACGUG